AACGCGAAGAACCUUACCUGGUCUUGACAUCCCGUUUGAUACAGGGCAAUGCCUGUAGCCCUUCGGGGGAACGGAGACAGGUGGUGCAUGGUUGUCGUCAGCUCGUGUCGUGAGAUGUUGGGUUAAGUCCCGCAACGAGCGCAACCCCUGUGCUUAGUAGCCAGCAGGUAAAGCUGGGCACUCUAAGGAGACAGCCGGGGAUAACCCGGAGGAAGGUGGGGAUGACGUCAAAUCAUCAUGCCCCUUAUGACCAGGGCUACACACGUGCUACAAUGGCGCAAACAAAGGGAAGCGAGCAUGUGAAUGUAAGCAAAACUCAGAAAAGGCGUCACAGUUCGGAUUGUAGUCUGCAACUCGACUACAUGAAGCUGGAAUCGCUAGUAAUCGCGAAUCAGCA
Molecule: ribosomal RNA, 397 nt
Filed under: uncultured bacterium
Lineage: Bacteria
Description: bacterial SSU rRNA
Rfam family: Bacterial small subunit ribosomal RNA
Source: RNAcentral